Molecule: long non-coding RNA, 296 nt
Filed under: Phaseolus vulgaris (common bean)
Lineage: Eukaryota; Viridiplantae; Streptophyta; Magnoliopsida; Fabales; Fabaceae
Description: long non-coding RNA (PVUL_LNC000578)
Source: RNAcentral
AAGCCAAAGAAGGAGUCAAAGGUCUUGAUGAGGAGCUGGUCGUGCAACGUCGAUCCCAAGAGCUUGGUAGCGGCCUGAACCAGUGGCGAGUCAGAGGAGACAUUUGGAGGCUUCAUUGAUCAAGUAUUGAGAAAGGUAUUAACAUUCUUUCUCUUUCAUUUGUGUUUGGAUAAUGCUCAAUAAAUUUAGGGUUUUUUUACGACAUACUUUAAAUGAAGGGGAAUUCUGAGUGCUCAAAUCUCAGGUUGUGUUUUGGGUGGCUGAGAUGGGAUAUCGCAGUAUUUCAUGGUUGGUUG